AUGACCUCAAAGUGGUAAUUGAAGGCGACCUGCAAGAAUGAUGGUAUCAACUACUGGAACUAAUUUUUUCCUAUUCUCUGAAAUCUUUUAUUUAAGAUACUGUCAAUCAUGACGUAUAUUGGCUGGCUUUUACCGGAACUCUGAUCCAAGAUAUCCUUAAGAAGAGCAGAAGUGUGAACAUAAAGACCUGAUGAUGUACUUAUACGCCUUUUUAUUGCACUUUUAGCAUCAGGCCAAUGUGUUAAUGGCUCAGAAAAAAAUAUUUUAAGUCGACUAUUUUUGGAGGGAAACCUAUCACCAAACAAAUCAUAUGGUAAGCAAAAAGCACGAUUAAGACUUGGAGAAUACGAAAGCCAAAGAUAAUCCUUCAGCCAAUCAUGUCGAAAGGACCUACUGUGACCAUUUGCAUCAACAGUUUUAGGAACUUCAUAGCAUUCAUCAGGCAAAUCAGCAUUUGCAGUUUUAUUAUCCGGUAAUCGCAAGGUAGAAGAUGAAAUAGAAGAAGAAGCAUCACAAGGAACCAAAGCGCUACUGUGAGAUACACCAUAUGGAUGAGUCUUAGUUGUCAUGGUUGUCUCAGUAGGACCAGAAGUUCCAUUCCCACCAAGUAUCAAAGGCACAUAAUGAUUGUGUUUGAAUGCAGUUGCUUAAGGAGCUAAACCUUCAAAGCAAAACAAAACUCGCUAAUAAUUACUAGUGGAAGCACAAGCUCUAGAUAGAAUUUGAGGUUCAAUUCUUUGGUUAAAUAAUAAAUUCCACCUAUAAACACUA
This is a long non-coding RNA of Xenia sp. Carnegie-2017, 771 nucleotides long. RefSeq lists it as uncharacterized. Lineage: Eukaryota; Metazoa; Cnidaria; Anthozoa; Malacalcyonacea; Xeniidae. The record is from RefSeq and is a predicted model, not a curated record. The transcript has 3 exons.